RNAcentral lists this small RNA (35 nucleotides) under Bombyx mori (domestic silkworm). RNAcentral describes it as "ovarian small RNA-15817". Lineage: Eukaryota; Metazoa; Arthropoda; Insecta; Lepidoptera; Bombycidae. The record is from RNAcentral.
GAGCGCGACACUGAUAAUGUCGAGGUCCGUGGUUC